RNAcentral lists this ribosomal RNA (441 nucleotides) under uncultured bacterium. RNAcentral describes it as "partial 16S ribosomal RNA". It matches the Rfam family "Bacterial small subunit ribosomal RNA", at positions 338 to 795 of the family's 1533-position model. The record is from RNAcentral.
CCUACGGGAUGCAGCAGUGGGGAAUAUUGCACCAUGGGGGAAACCCUGAUGCAGCGACGCCGCGUGGGUGACGAAGUAUUUCGGUAUGUAAAGCCCUAUCAGCAGGGAAGACAGUGACAGUACCUGACUAAGAAGCACCGGCUAACUACGUGCCAGCCGCCGCGGUAAUCCGUAGGGGGCAAGCGUUCUCCGGAUUUACUGGGUGGAAGGGGAGCGUAGGGGGCAUGGGAAGCCAGAAGUGAAAACCCGGGGCUUAACCCCGCGGAUUGCUUUUGGAACUGUCAGGCUGGAGUGCAGGAGGGGCAGGCGGAAUUCCUGGUGUAGCGGUGAAAUGCGUAGAUAUCAGGAGGAACACCGGUGGCGAAGGCGGCCUGCUGGACUGUAACUGACACUGAGGCUCGAAAGCGUGGGGAGCAAACAGGAUUAGAUACCCGAGUAGUC